Molecule: non-coding RNA, 252 nt
Organism: Vicia faba (fava bean)
Lineage: Eukaryota; Viridiplantae; Streptophyta; Magnoliopsida; Fabales; Fabaceae
Source: the annotation of a GenBank genome assembly
AUGAUGGUGUUAACAUUGUUACGUGUUAAUAAACAGAAUGACCCAAAUGAAGAAGAUGAAGCAAGUUUGGAUUUUGAUGGGAUUCUACCGCAGAAGAAGCAAGUUGAUGUUGCUUCCAUUGCUGCAGUUCAAGAAAAUUAUAAUACUCAACUGAGUUAUAAGCAUAGGAUUUUUUUGUUCUUGAAUGGUGUUUUAGACAAAGACAGGGUUUUGAAACAUGUUAAAAAAAACCAGACCGAACCGGUGGGUUAG